Molecule: ribosomal RNA, 462 nt
Filed under: uncultured bacterium
Lineage: Bacteria
Description: partial 16S ribosomal RNA
Rfam family: Bacterial small subunit ribosomal RNA
Source: RNAcentral
AUGCACGCUGACAGACUGCUUAACACAUGCAAGUCUUUGGCGAAGCUGUGCUCGCACAGCCUAGCCAAGGCGGACGGGUGAGUAACGCGUAAGGAACUUGCCCUGCAGUCAGGGAUAACAGACGGAAACGACUGAUAAGACCUGGUAAAGUCAGGCGGACUCAUGUCCAGCCUGAUGAAAAGAGAUGCUGCAGGAGAGCCUUGCGUCCUAUUAGCUUGUUGGUGGGGUAACGGCCCACCAAGGCGAUGAUAGGUAGCCGGCCUGAGAGGGUGGACGGCCACAAGGGGACUGAGAUACGGCCCUUACUCCUACGGGAGGCAGCAGUGGGGAAUAUUGGACAAUGGGGGCAACCCUGAUCCAGCAAUUCUGUGUGCACGAUGAAGGUUUUCGGAUUGUAAAGUGCUUUCAGCAGGGAAGAAAAAAAUGACGGUACCUGCAGAAGAAGCGACGGCUAAAUACGUG